GCCUCCGCUGCGGGGACGCCGCGCUUUGGAAGCCUUCCCGGAGCGCGCGGGGGUGCUGGUGCAGGUCGGGCGAUUACAUGCGGACACUUCACUUUCAGCCAUGCCUGCCCCGGGAGCUCUCUGUCUGCUACUGAACCCAAACAUCAUCAGAGCCACAUGGUUUUGUUAAGCUACUGGAAAUAACUUUUGCCUGGGAUUUACUGCAGCAUUCCCUCCCGGCCUGGCCCCUGCGGACUCCAGCAGGCUCACUGCCUAACAGUUACGAAGACUCCUCGAUGCGUUUCAUGUGACCUUUGGGCAGACCGUGGAGCUUUCUAUUUUAUUUUGUGAGGCCUUGAGUCGGGAUCUUCUUAACGUGUGCUUGGAAGUGGUCAUACCGGAACUCGGGCACGCACAGAAAUAGUGCGAGGGAAACCAGAUACGCCGUAACUUUCUGCCUGAUACCUGUUGGGCUUCGUGUCUAAACUUUGGUAGUGUUUGGGGUCCUUUUUUUUUUUCCUGGAAACUUCCAACCAUGAAGAGGAGCUCUGUGUUCUAUUAAUUAUCUUUUAGAACUGUACCCGGAAUCAGACUGUGAGCAUGGAUUUCUAAGGGAAAAGUGAAGCUGAUCUCCAAACUUGAAUGAAGUGCUUCUGGUAUGAGGAAGAUGGAAGGGAUCAACUCCAUUUGGAAGGGAAUGGUACUGGAGCAAACCUUCUUGUCGCCAUAAAUUCAAGGAAUACCGCCUGCCUAAUUUCUGGGAAGGAUACCAAUCGGUGCAGAUAACAUUAAGGUUGUGCUGUGGGAAAUGCUAGCAAGAAGGUGAGGUGUUUCUCGAGGGUAUUUGGGAUGGAUGUUUUGAACCUCUGGAUCUUCCUAACUUUUGGCCAGGAGACAGGAGGCCUCCACAUCCGCGGGGAGACCUCCCCGUGCCUCAUCUCCGUGGGACCGAGGAGUUCCUAAUGCUCCUUGCGCACCAAAACUGACUUCUUGCUUGCAACCUGUUUUGCUGAUCCUUCUGGAUUUAUCUGCCGGAGGAGAGACUCACAA
Molecule: long non-coding RNA, 1029 nt
Organism: Sturnus vulgaris (Common starling)
Lineage: Eukaryota; Metazoa; Chordata; Aves; Passeriformes; Sturnidae
Source: RefSeq, a predicted model, not a curated record